This is an RNA transcript of Vitis vinifera (wine grape), 775 nucleotides long. It is a transcript of the gene named chaperone protein dnaJ 20, chloroplastic, with no coding region annotated. The record is from RefSeq and is a predicted model, not a curated record. NCBI's taxonomy places the organism in Eukaryota, Viridiplantae, Streptophyta, Magnoliopsida, Vitales, Vitaceae. The transcript is spliced from 2 exons.
AACAAUAUCUACAGAGUCAUCUGGAUCGCUAACACCAGUUCAAACACUUGCAAAAUACCCACACCCACGCAAAUGAGUUAUGGAAGCACAGGUCAUGACUUCCUUGUCUGCUCCAAACCCUGCCUUCCAGGCGCAAAAUCAAUGCUUAAGCCCAGUCCAAAUCACCUCAUCUUCAACACCAACCUCCCAAAACCGGCGUUUUCUCUCAAAACUCCAUCUGGGUAUUUCACAACCAGGGCCAAGACAGCCAUUAACAGCAGCCACAAUCUGUAUCUGACAGAAGAGGCCUCAGAGAGUUUCUACUGUUUGUUGGGCGUUUCAGAGGCUGCAACACUCUCAGAAAUCAAGCAGGCUUACAAACAACUAGUCCUCAAGUACCACCCAGAUGUGUCUCCACCUGACUCUGCCAAGGAAUUCACCAGGAUGUUCAUUCGGAUCCAGGAGGCCUAUGAGACGUUGUCUGACCCAAGACUAGAGAUUUGUAUGACAGUGAUUUGACCAAGGGUUUACAUGUGGCGUUCUCCGCUCAAAAACUGUACCGGUCUCAUCAACCAGGAAUGGAUAUGAGUGGAGAUUGGAAAAGCAGAUGGCAAGCACAACUCGGAGAGUUGGAGAGGAAGAGCGCAAGUAGGAAUUCAAACGAUAACAAGUCAUGGGCAGCAAGAGUCCGCAUGCGAAGAAGUAAAUCAAGUAUCUAAUCAUGGAUUUCAACACAGGCUUUCAAUUACGGACAUUAAUGUUUCGGUUUAAUUAUCUUAUAAUAUAUUUGGCAGUA